GGCGUAGCUGAUCUAGCCAUGCCGCGUGAGUGAUGAAGGUCUUAGGAUCGUAAAGCUCUUCUCUGCUAGGGAUGAUAAUGACAGUACCUAGUAAAGAAGCCCCGGCUAACUCCGUGCCAGCAGCCGCGGUAAUACGGAGGGGGCUAGCGUUGUUCGGAAUUACUGGGCGUAAAGCGUACGUAGGCGGAUCAGAAAGUAUGGGGUGAAAUCCCAGGGCUUAACCCUGGAACUGCCUCAUAAACUCCUGGUCUUGAGUUCGAGAGAGGUGAGUGGAAUUCCAAGUGUAGAGGUGAAAUUCGUAGAUAUUUGGAGGAACACCAGUGGCGAAGGCGGCUCACUGGCUCGAUACUGACGCUGAGGUACGAGAGUGUGGGGAGCAACAGAUUAGAUACUCUGGUAGUCCACACCGUAACGAUGAUGCCAGUCGUCAGGCAGUAUACUGUUCGUGACACACUACGAUAGCAUCGCUGGGAGUACGUCGCAGAUACACUCAAGAUGACGGGCCGCACAGCGUGAGCAUGUGAUAUCGAGCACGCGCAGAUCUACACCGUGACAUGCUGACAUCGAGAGAUCGACUCUCAGACAGUGACAGUGCUGCAUGCUGUCGUCAACUCGUGUCGUGAGAUGUCGUAR
Molecule: ribosomal RNA, 633 nt
Filed under: uncultured Sulfitobacter sp.
Lineage: Bacteria; Pseudomonadati; Pseudomonadota; Alphaproteobacteria; Rhodobacterales; Roseobacteraceae
Description: bacterial SSU rRNA
Rfam family: Bacterial small subunit ribosomal RNA
Source: RNAcentral